This 1241-nucleotide long non-coding RNA is filed under the name Phascolarctos cinereus (koala). Its description in RNAcentral is "lncRNA (ENSPCIG00000030688.1)". The record is from RNAcentral. Lineage: Eukaryota; Metazoa; Chordata; Mammalia; Diprotodontia; Phascolarctidae.
GGGCAGGUCCUGGGAACCAGUGAGUUGUAGGCAAAGUUGAAGAGAACGACGGUCCACGCCCCUUCUAUCUCCCCUCUCCCUCCCCGCGCUGGGUGUGCCUUCCCCCCCCCCCCCCCCCCCCCGCCUCCGUGGCGCUCACUGGCCGUAAGCAUCUUGGGCAAGUCCCCUAGCUUUCUGAGCCUCAGUUUCCUUCCUUGUCAAAAGCCCAGGGCCGACUUGGGGCCCUGCCUGUUCUACCCCUCGCUAUCCCAUAUGCACAACACCCCCCACCCCCACCCCCCCAGACUGGUGUGAGGAAUCAGAAGGAUGAUGAAAGGGCCGUACCCACGGGGAUGCCAGCAGUCAGUGGCCCGGAGGGUUCCGUCGGGGAGGGUGUCCGUGGACACCCUCAGGCGCCUAGGCUGCCUGAGGACAGAAGUGAGAUCCUGGGGCGGAAGUGGGGGAGGGGUCAUCUCCCCCCUUCCCGGGAAAACCCUGGCCUUGGGCCCUCGGGGUGCACAUUCCCACAUCCUCUUUCGAUGCCCUGUCAUUACUGCCCUUGUGACCAGCCCACGCAGUUCUCCCACUGGGUUGGCCACCAAAGGGGAAGGAGUGCUCUGUGGUCAGUACUAUCUCUGGCAGGAACCAAGAAAAGGCAGCCAGUCCUGAGUGGCUGCAUGUGCUGCACUGCUGGUACCUCGGAGCAAGGCUGACUUCUCUGCCACAGCUCCUGCACAGACUGCCCUGUCCUCCAGAACUGCCCUGCAGGUGAUGGGCUGAGGCCACAGGACCAGUAAAGCUCAGCCAGAGGGAACAUCUUCCACAAGGCUCCAUGAGCCCAACAGCACUGUGGCCUUUCCCUCUGUACAGAAGCUCCAACAAAUAGAGCUCUGAACCCACAGCAGACAGUGUGUAGUGAUCUUUCAAAGGCGUGAGUGGGCCAAGUCUGAGGUACUGAAGAUCUGGACAAGAAAGUCCUUGCCACCAAAGUCUUUGGACCUGCCAAAUGAUUAACAGAAGGGAUAUUGUUUUAACAGUGGAAAUGACAUUAAAGAAGCUCCAUUACCAUAUGUCUGCCUACUGUUCCCUAAGGACCACUGGGCCUGUCCAUCUGACUGGUAGCUGAAGCCUCCUAUCUGUGAUGUCUCCCAGUAGGACGUAAACUCCUUGUGAGCAAGGACUCUCUCCCUUUUCCAUUUAUAUCCCUAGCACUUAACAUACUGAUAUAGGAAGCAUUUAAUAAAUGAUUUUUCAUUUAUCCA